GAUGAACGCUGGCGGCGUGCCUAAUACAUGCAAGUCGAGCGAACAGACGAGGAGCUUGCUCCUCUGACGUUAGCGGCGGACGGGUGAGUAACACGUGGAUAACCUACCUAUAAGACUGGGAUAACUUCGGGAAACCGGAGCUAAUACCGGAUAAUAUAUUGAACCGCAUGGUUCAAUAGUGAAAGACGGUUUUGCUGUAACUUAUAGAUGGAUCCGCGCCGCAUUAGCUGGUUGGUAAGGUAACGGGUUACCAAGGCAACGAUGCGUAGCCGAACGGAGAGAGGGAUAGCCCGCCUUGGAGCUGGAACACGGACAAGAGUCCUGCGAGAGGCACCAGUCGGGAAUGGGCGGCAGUAGGGGAGAGCCUGACGGAACGACGGGACGUGAGUGACAAAGGUCUUGCGAUCGUAAAGACCGGUUACUAGGGGAAAACAGAUGUGGAAGGUAACAAGCACGUAGUGACGGUAACGGAUCAGAAAGCAACGGCUAACUACGUG
RNAcentral lists this ribosomal RNA (497 nucleotides) under uncultured bacterium. Its description in RNAcentral is "partial 16S ribosomal RNA". It matches the Rfam family "Bacterial small subunit ribosomal RNA", at positions 28 to 507 of the family's 1533-position model. The record is from RNAcentral.